Molecule: ribosomal RNA, 805 nt
Filed under: uncultured alveolate
Lineage: Eukaryota
Description: SSU rRNA
Rfam family: Eukaryotic small subunit ribosomal RNA
Source: RNAcentral
UGCAUGUCUAAGUAUAAAUGUUAUACAGUGAAACUGCGAAUGGCUCAUUAAAACAGUUAUAGUUUAUUUGAUAAUCGAAUCUACAUGGAUAACCGUGGUAAUUCUAGAGCUAAUACAUGCGGCUACGCCUGACUCCCGAGGAAGGGCGGUAUUUAUUAGAUAACGAACCAAUAUUCCCUGCGUCUAUUGUGAUGACUCAUAGUAACUGAUCGAAUCGCAUGGGCCUUGCCCGCGAUGCAUCAUUCAAGUUUCUGCCCCAUCAGCUUUCGAUGGUAGUGUAUUGGACUACCAUGGCGUUAACGGGUAACGGAGGAUUAGGGUUCGAUUCCGGAGAGGGAGCCUGAGAAACGGCUACCACAUCUAAGGAAGGCAGCAGGCGCGUAAAUUACCCAAUCCUGACUCAGGGAGGUAGUGACAAGAAAUAACGGACCGGAACGUACGUUCCGGGAUUGCAAUGAGUAGAAUUUAAACCCCUUUACGAGGACCCAUUGGAGGGCAAGUCUGGUGCCAGCAGCCGCGGUAAUUCCAGCUCCAAUAGCGUAUAUUAAAGUUGUUGCAGUUAAAAAGCUCGUAGUUGGAUUUCUGGAAGGGUGCCGAUGUCCGCCGUUGGCGUGUGCAGAGGCGCCCUGCCAUCCUUCUGUUAACCUUUCUCGGUAUUCACUUACUGGUUAGGGGCUCAGAUAUUUUACCUUGAGAAAAUUAGAGUGUUUCAGGCAGGCUUGCGCCGGAAUACAUUAGCAUGGAAUAAUAGAAUAGGACUUUGUGUCUCCUUUGUUGGUUUGAGGGACCGAAGUAAUGAUUAAUA